UCUUGGUCAAUUAGAGGAAGUAAAAGUCGUAACAAGGUUUCCGUAGGUGAACCUGCGGAAGGAUCAUUAACGAGUUUGAACUGGGGUUGUAGCUGGCCUCUCGAGGCAUGUGCUCGCCCUGCUCAUCCAUAUACCACUGUGCACCUUCUGUGGCGUGGCGGCGCUUUACGGCGCUGCCUGCUGCACUUUUACACAUACACUACAAGUCUAGAAUGUUUACUUGCGAUAAUACGCAUCUAAUACAACUUUCAACAACGGAUCUCUUGGCUCUCGCAUCGAUGAAGAACGCAGCGAAAUGCGAUAAGUAAUGUGAAUUGCAGAAUUCAGUGAAUCAUCGAAUCUUUGAACGCACCUUGCGCUCCUUGGUAUUCCGAGGAGCAUGCCUGUUUGAGUGUCAUGAAUCUCUCAAUACAACAGCUUGUGAAAGCGGCUGUUGGAUUGGACUUGGAGGUUGCCGGCGCAAGUCGGCUCCUCUCUAAAUGUAUUAGCUGGAUCUGAAGGUCGGCGAUCAUCAGUGUGAUAAUUAUCUAUGCUGUUGUAUUCCACCUGCACAAGGUGCUACCAUCCUCAGGGAUGAGUGGCCCAUGGUGUUACCGUCCGUAAGGAUGUGUGGCCCAGUGGAGAUCACGCUUCUAACCGUCUGUAAGGACAAAUCUCUUGACAUCUGACCUCAAAUCAGGUAGGACUACCCGCUGAACUUAAGCAUAUCAAUAA
Molecule: ribosomal RNA, 714 nt
Filed under: cf. Corticium sp. UC2023021
Lineage: Eukaryota; Fungi; Basidiomycota; Agaricomycetes; Corticiales; Corticiaceae
Description: eukaryotic LSU rRNA
Rfam family: 5.8S ribosomal RNA (bases 244-397)
Source: RNAcentral